Molecule: long non-coding RNA, 3867 nt
Organism: Myotis brandtii (Brandt's bat)
Lineage: Eukaryota; Metazoa; Chordata; Mammalia; Chiroptera; Vespertilionidae
Exons: 2
Source: RefSeq, a predicted model, not a curated record
CUGGAUUCGGAAGUGGUCCCGCCAAGUGGUUCCUCAAGAGCGAGUGAGGUCUGAACCGCCUUCAUUGACGCCUGCAGCAAGGCCUUGGAGCCGAUCCCAUGCUCUGCCACCUCACUCCGCAGCAUGCCCAGGGCAGUCCAUGGAUGGAGCAACAGAAACCUAUUUUCAAGGGCCAGUGUUUUGCUUCAAAAUGAAAUGUGAACCUAUUACUUUGAGACAUUCUUCACCUCCUGUGUACAGCCUUGCGAAGAAGCGCACAAGCACGUGAAGAGGCAAACCAUCUAUCUCCUUGAAGGAUAAAGAACUUGCUGCUCAAAAGGUGAAAUUAACCCAGAGCACACAGUGAGAGCUGGAGCAGGAUUCAAAGCUGGCCCCUCUGCUUGCCAACCCCCACACGGGCUGCCUGCCCCACAGGAGAGCUGAGCUCCACGGGGUUGACCCCACCAGCUGAAUGACCUUGAGCAAGCCGCUAACCGGCUAACUGUCUCUAGGCCUCGAUGAACAUAAGCCUUCUUCCCGCCCUGAAUCGGCAUUUCAGUUAGGGCAUCGGCCCUGGCAGGCCCUGAUAAGGUCUGCACUCCACUCUGCUCUCCACGGCCCUGGCAAGCGAUGGAAAUAAAACUCACAGGCAGCAGAAACCAGUUCCACCCUCCAGGUCAAUACCCAUUUGUCAAAAGUUUGGCAAAAGUUGCAUUCGUAUUAGUGAAACCUCAGCAUAGCUGCAUGCACGGUUUGACACACAGAAUUUAUGACAUCUGUUGGAGGAAUGUAGCUCUGAAAACCCUCAGUGUCAAAAAGUGUAUAUAAUGGAAGGAACACUUCUUGCACUGCCUGACAUUUCUAAUUUCUUUCCAAACCCCUGUCUCCAAUUCUUAAAAUGAUGGCUCCCUGAGCACCUCUGUGCUUUCUUUUUUUUUUUAAUUGGAUAAUUCAGAUUUUUUUUCCUGAACAUCUGACUGUAGAUUGAAAAAAAAAUCACAUCUACAAAUCGUGUUGACAAGUAGAAAAAAAUGGUUAACAUACACUCAAAUAUUUGUUCAAGAAAAAGACUUUUUGUUUUCUGGAGAAAAAAAGACCAGGCUAAAUGUAUUAAAUCCUGGAGGACACAUACUAGUGAACGAUAUUGGCACCUCUAGGAUCAAUAAGUAGGGGAACUCUUCUCUUCAACGCAUCUCAGACUGUAUCCACAAAGCCCUUUUCUUUCAUCCUUAAUGACAGAUUAUAGAACUCUCAUCACAAAUUUAAACAUUUUCGGGAGAUGCUUAUAUUCUCCUAAGCCUUUCUCUGUAGAGUUCCACAGUGUUUUACUCUCAACAGGGCACCUUCCAGCUGUUCGUGCUGAAGUCUGGGCCUGCCUGGUUUCAGCAAUGGAAUUUAGAGUAUGAAUCCUGAAUUCCUUCUCUGUACUUCACGGUUCUCUGAAGGUGACCACAUGGGCUCCCAGCCUCGGCGUUGCCACACUGAAGAGCCCUAAUCUCUCUCCCCUGACCUCACAGAGCGGCGUGUUCCAUUUAUCUCACUGGGUCAGAACCAAGGUGUGUGUCAUGUGGGGACAGGGUGUCCUCCCUUUUCUAUUUAUCAGAAAGAUCAGGUACUAAUUCUUUGAAAUGGCAUGAUGUUCAUUAAUUGAUUUCAUCUGAUCCCUGGGACCCAGGGAGGAAGUUCAACCACCCACUUGUGGUCACUGUGUUUCCUCCUCUCCCAACUAUACCUGCUGCUUCAUCUGUUUCUACGUCUAGUUACUAGACGUAGGUGCCUUUCUUCUGCUGUAAAACAUCUGAAACAAGGAGAGGAAGAAUCCACACAAGGCUUUGCUGUCACUCAGCUCUGGGUUUGGAACCCAACCCCACCACUUGUGAGCUAUGGAACUGAGUAGGUUCACUCAGCCUCCCUGAGCCUGUUAGUAAAAUGGGAACAGAUGUGAAGCUGAAAUAACACUUGUCAGGUGCUCACUACAGGUCCUGGCACAUGGGAUCUGAGAAUAGCAUUAAUAACCAUCAUCAUCUGGCCCUAGCUGGUUGGGUUCAGUGGACAGUACAUCAGCCCAUGGACUGAAGAAUCCCGUGUCUGAUUCCACUCUCUCGAACAACAACAAAAACCCAUUAUCAUUUGGGGCAAAGUUAGCAUUGCCCCAGCUUCACCAAGGAGGAUAUUAAAUACUGUCCGUGGUGGCCUACCAACAUGGCAGGCUGAGGACAGCAGCAGUUAAUGGUCAUCAAGCAGGUGCCAGGGGCUGUGCUAUGUACAUUACUACAUGGGCUAUCCAUUCGAACUCUACAAUCAUCACCAAAGAGCUAGGUACUAAUCUCCCCCUUUCAGAGAUGAGGAAUCUCAGAUUCAGGGACCUGACAGGCUAGACAGCUAGUAAAGAGGAAGCCAGAUCUGGCUCCCACAGUGCAAGAGUGCUGGGUUUAGGAAAGGCCUCUGACCAGGGUGGGCAGAGAGGUGUCCGUCUAGUGAGGACUGGCAGGGGGGAGCCUAUGGUGGUGAAGAAGUGAGACCCAGAGCGUUUAUUCACCUUACACUUUUUUUCUGUGAAGAGGAAAUACCUGAUCAAAGGGCUUGGAAGAGCAGCUACAGAGAAACCAUUACCCAUGCAUCCGAAUGCGUUUUAUUUCUAGUCCACCAUGUUUGCUUUUCAUGAGGAUGUCCCUCUUCUCCGCGCAGCACAAGUCCGGCCAACUACCAGUGCUUGUAACCUUUUUUGUUUGUUAGCUUAAAGUCAAACAGUCUAUAUUUUCAGUUUCCAAGUCUGAGGAAAUAAAGAUGUAUUGGAAUUUAGAACUCACUGUUAGAAAGCAGAAAAUCAUAAAGGCUCUUAAAGCAAUACUUCUAAGUAGAGUCACACUGCUGGUAGAGAGCGUAGGUUUGGUGCUCAACCCACUGUCUGUUGAUGCGUGUGUAUGCCACUGCUGAAGAUUUAGCUAAUAUUUGAGGGACAAUCUCCAAACCAGCAGAAUUACUACAAAAGGCCUCUAUGUGUAUGCAGAUUAACACCAACAACACAGAGAAAGGCUUUGGGGAAGGGUCUUUUCAGCUUGCUGGUCACUUGAACAGACCAAAAGAGAUGCUGCCUCAAAUGUUUUGGGAGGAUAAUACAUGGAACCCAGUUUUCCCCUGAUUUUGGUUUAUUGUUUUGCUUUAAGAAACCACUCAUGAGAGAAGGUAGGUUGAUCACAUGAUCUAAAGUUCACAAAGUAAAAACAUACAAACGACAGGACCACCAAGUUUAGAAAAUGUCCUACAAUGUGCAUUUUAUUCCAUAUCAUUAUACAAUGUCUUUAUGUACAGUAGUCCCCCCUUAUCCGCGGUUUCGUGGUCCUUGGUUUCAGUUAACCGAGGUCAACCAUGGUUGGAAAAUAUUAAAUGAAAAGAUUUCAGAAAUAAACAAUUCAUACGUUUUAAAUUGCGCGUCGUUCUGAGUAGCGUGUUGAAAUCUUGCGCGGUCCCGUUCCGUCCCGCCCGGGACAUGCAUCAUCCCUUGGUCCAGCACCCACACUCUACGAUCCCCGCCCUUUAGGCACUUAGUCGCCAUCUUGGUUACAGAUUGACCAUCUCAGUAUCACAGUGCUUGUGUUUAAGUGACCCUUACUUUACUUAAUGGCCCCAAAGUGCAAGAGUGGUGAUGCUGGCAAUUCCGAUAUGCCAAAGAGAAGCUGUAAAGUGCUCCCCAAGUGAAAAGGAAUGUAUGUACAGGAAACCACACGUAGCAUACAGGGUUCAGUACUAUCCACGGUCUCAGGCAUCCAUUAGGGGUCUUGGAACAUAAUCCCCGUGGAUAAAGGGAGGGGAGCUACUGUAGUUAUCACUCUUAAGAAAAUGUUUUUUUUCUUUAUCAAUUGCAUGUAGUGCCUAAAUUUCCACUUU